UCCCCUUCACAGAGGUGGGUGAGGAGGAGCCGGGGGCUGAGUGCGCCCUGAGCUGGACCUUGCCUGGCAGAGAGCACCGGGUGGAGGUGGCAGGACACCGGCAGCUCCUCGACCGGUUUGGUAGAGGCUCCUCAGGGACAGGGUGAGGGCUGUUCCUUGCCGUGGGGAAAAUGACAUUACAGGUUUGCAAGAGCUGGGCACUUUGUUGUG
This 210-nucleotide long non-coding RNA is filed under the name Anser brachyrhynchus (Pink-footed goose). RNAcentral describes it as "lncRNA (ENSABRG00000000080.1)". Lineage: Eukaryota; Metazoa; Chordata; Aves; Anseriformes; Anatidae. The record is from RNAcentral.